AGGUGGUGCAUGGCUGUCGUCAGCUCGUGUCGUGAGAUGUUGGGUUAAGUCCCGCAACGAGCGCAACCCUCGUCCUAUGUUGCCAGCACGUCGUGGUGGGGACUCAUAGGAGACUGCCGGGGUCAACUCGGAGGAAGGUGGGGAUGACGUCAAGUCAUCAUGCCCCUUAUGUCCAGGGCUUCACGCAUGCUACAAUGGCCGGUACAAAGGGCUGCGAUCCCGUAAGGGGGAGCGAAUCCCAAAAAGCCGGUCUCAGUUCGGAUUGGGGUCUGCAACUCGACCCCAUGAAGUCGGAGUCGCUAGUAAUCGCAGAUCAGCAACGCUGCGGUGAAUACGUUCCCGGGCCUUGUACACACCGCCCGUCACGUCACGAAAGUCGGCAACACCCGAAGCCGGUGGCCCAACCCCUUGUGGGAGGGAGCCGUCGAAGGUGGGGCUGGCGAUUGGACG
RNAcentral lists this ribosomal RNA (450 nucleotides) under Nocardioides panacihumi. RNAcentral's name for it is "bacterial SSU rRNA". It matches the Rfam family "Bacterial small subunit ribosomal RNA", at positions 1036 to 1482 of the family's 1533-position model. Lineage: Bacteria; Bacillati; Actinomycetota; Actinomycetes; Propionibacteriales; Nocardioidaceae. The record is from RNAcentral.